AUUGAACGCUGGCGGCAGGCCUAACACAUGCAAGUCGAGCGGAUGACGGGAGCUUGCUCCUUGAUUCAGCGGCGGACGGGUGAGUAAUGCCUAGGAAUCUGCCUGGUAGUGGGGGACAACGUUUCGAAAGGAACGCUAAUACCGCAUACGUCCUACGGGAGAAAGCAGGGGACCUUCGGGCCUUGCGCUAUCAGAUGAGCCUAGGUAGGAUUAGCUAGUUGGGGGGGUAAUGGCUCACCAAGGCGACGAUGCGUAACUGGUCUGAGAGGAUGAACAGUCACACUUGAACUGGGACACGGUCCAGACUCCUGCGGGAGGCAGCAGUGGGGAAUAUUGGACAAUGGGCUAAAGCCUGAUCCAGCCAUGCCGCGUGUGUGAAGAAGGUCUUCGGAUUGUAAAGCACUUUAAGUUGGGAGGAAGGGCAGUAAGUUAAUACCUUGCUGUUUUGACGUUACCGACAGAAUAAGCACCGGCUAACUCUGUGCCAGCAGCCGCAGUAA
Molecule: ribosomal RNA, 500 nt
Filed under: uncultured bacterium
Lineage: Bacteria
Description: partial 16S ribosomal RNA
Rfam family: Bacterial small subunit ribosomal RNA
Source: RNAcentral